RNAcentral lists this ribosomal RNA (440 nucleotides) under uncultured bacterium. Its description in RNAcentral is "partial 16S ribosomal RNA". It matches the Rfam family "Bacterial small subunit ribosomal RNA", at positions 338 to 795 of the family's 1533-position model. The record is from RNAcentral.
CCUACGGGAGGCAGCAGUGGGGAAUAUUGCACAAUGGGGGAAACCCUGAUGCAGCAACGCCGCGUGAGUGAAGAAGUAUUUCGGUAUGUCAUGCUCUAUCAGCAGGGAAGAAAAUGACGGUACCUGAGUAAGAAGCCCCGUCUAAAUACGUGCCAGCAGCCGCGGUAAUCAGUAGGGGGCACGCGUUAUCCGGAUUUACUGGGUGUACAGGGAGCGUAGACGGCGAUACAAGUCUGAUGUGAAUGCCGGGGGCGCAACCCCGGGACUGCUUUGGAAAGUGUGUUGCUGGAGUGCUGGAGAGCCAAGCGGAAUUCCUAGUGUAGCGGUGAAAUGCGUAGAUAGUAGGAAGAACACCAGUGGCGAAGGCGGCUUGCUGGACAGUAACUGACGUUGAGGCUCGAAAGCGUGGGGAGCAAACAGGAUUAGAUACCCGUGUAGUC